GCUAACGCUUGGACAGGCGGCGCGGUAAUACAGAGGGGGGAAACGUUAUUCGGGAGUAUGUGGCGGAAAGGGCGCGUUGGCGGGUUCUUAAGGUCGAAUGUCAAUGCCCGGGCUCAACCCGGGAACUGCAUCCGAGACUGGGAGGCUAGAGUACUGGAGAGGGUGGUGGAAUUCCUCGUGUAGCGGUGAAAUGCGUAGAGAUGAGGAGGAACACCAGUGGCGAAGGCGGCCACCUGGACAGUAACUGACGCUGAGGCGCGAAAGCGUGGGUAGCAAACAGGAUUAGAUACCCUAGUAGUC
RNAcentral lists this ribosomal RNA (300 nucleotides) under uncultured Corynebacterium sp. RNAcentral describes it as "bacterial SSU rRNA". It matches the Rfam family "Bacterial small subunit ribosomal RNA", at positions 496 to 795 of the family's 1533-position model. The record is from RNAcentral. Lineage: Bacteria; Bacillati; Actinomycetota; Actinomycetes; Mycobacteriales; Corynebacteriaceae.